AAUAUUGCACAAUGGGGGAAACCCUGAUGCAGCAACGCCGCGUGAGCGAUGAAGGCCUUCGGGUCGUAAAGCUCUGUCCUAAGGGAAGAAAUUUGACGGUACCUUGGGAGGAAGCCCCGGCUAACUACGUGCCAGCAGCCGCGGUAAUACGUAGGGGGCAAGCGUUAUCCGGAAUCACUGGGCGUAAAGGGUGCGUAGGCGGUCUUGCAAGUCAGAGGUGGAAGGCUACGGCUCAACCGUAGUAAGCCUUUGAAACUGUAGGACUUGAGUGCAGGAGAGGAAAGUGGAAUUCCUAGUGUAGCGGUGAAAUGCGUAGAUAUUAGGAGGAACACCAGUGGCGAAGGCGACUCUCUGGACUGCAACUGACGCUGAGGCACGAAAGCGUGGGGAGCAAACA
This 397-nucleotide ribosomal RNA is filed under the name uncultured bacterium. Its description in RNAcentral is "partial 16S ribosomal RNA". It matches the Rfam family "Bacterial small subunit ribosomal RNA", at positions 360 to 774 of the family's 1533-position model. The record is from RNAcentral.